This 1213-nucleotide long non-coding RNA is filed under the name Equus asinus (donkey). Its description in RNAcentral is "lncRNA (ENSEASG00005038059.1)". The record is from RNAcentral. Lineage: Eukaryota; Metazoa; Chordata; Mammalia; Perissodactyla; Equidae.
CGGCGAUGUGAAGACGCUGGCGAGGGAAGCUCGGGCCACGUCGUCGUACUUAAGAUCCCUGCUUCUUUCUGAGAGGAAUCAAUUUUCAUUCUCUUUCUGCUGUGUGACGCCUGGGGACUGUGUGGUGUGGGGUGAGGGGUUGCCAGGGACGAAGGUUCUGACGCUACAGUCACUGCGAUGGCCCAGGGCGCAGCUGCCAGUGAAGGAUCCCAGAUUCUACCCAAAGGCCUGAAUACCAUCGUCUUCUGCCUGGAACUGAGUCAGUAAAAGGAAAUAGGAAGCCAAACAGCAGAAGGGCACACCCUGCUUACCAGAAACGCAUUACUAAAGAAGAAAUUCCGUGGUGUACCCUUUGGCUCCUGGCCCUUGGGUCCUGUCCUGCACCAUUGACAAGUUAAUAUGGUUCAACUACAUGAUGCCAAAUUGAAGAAGCCACUGAGGAAGCAACUCAGGAGCCCAUUUGCAUUAGCAGUUAAUAAUUCAGCCAAUGAGAGUUCAUGGCAGAGACCUGGGCCCUGGAAGAAGAUGGAGGAGCAAGUAUCAGGAGCCCAGACGGAGUGAGAAAAGUCAUAGGAGGAGGAGGCAAAGCCAGGCAAAAGCCAGAUCCUGGAAGUCACGGUUGGCUAGGCCAUCAAAUCAGAAGGUCAUAAGCAGUGGCCAGGCCCAGACGAGCUUGAGGAAUCUUGACCUUACACAAUAGUGGUAAAGAGUCAGCAGGUUCCAUGUGGGAGCCCACAAGUCCUGAGUCUGCAGUGAAGUGAACUUAUAUUAUCUGUUGGGGAGGAAAAUUCUCAAGUCUCUGUUCAAAUAGCCAGCAAUGUGACUUUAAAGAGUUUUAAGUGUAUUUAUGCCUGACAUAUUUCUGGAGUAAGCUUUGUUUCAUUUUGUUCCUGGGAAAUCUAAGUCCCCUCUUGCAGAGUUCAAUAAUUUGAAACUAAAAGUUUUAGAUGCAUUUUAAACAGCCACUUUCCCUCCCUACCCACUCAUUUACCAAAAUAAACAUGGCCACCCUGCCGCUGCGCUCUGAUUUGCAUAGCAGCCGAGCUGCUGCAGAUUCUCACACUGGGGCUAUUUCAGAGUUUGUGGAGAUGGCAAAGGGUUCCUUUCCUUAAAUAGUCUGGAGCAUGGUCCCCUUGGACGGCUGCUUUCGAAAACACUGUUACUGUAAAGUGAAAAUACUUGAGGAAAUAAAAUGCUAAUGAUAAAAGAAAAA